CCGGAUGAGUGAGCCUGCGAGCCCCGGUUCUGGUCCUGUCCGCCAUACCGGGGGAUCUCGCUCUGCUAUCAAGCAUAUGGAUGUGAUGGCUAAGGAGCUCGGCCGGAAGCCGACUGCGACAGAGCUGUACAGUCGCCUUCAUAAAACGAAGGCUGAGAAGAAACCAGUCGACAAGAGGGCUCAGGAUAUGACUGACGCCAUCGCUGAGAGGCUUGCUGCUGCGACAUAGUCGCCGACCGGAGAGGGGAGCACCUCGAGUCCUGUGGAUGAGACGCAGAUAUUUAUGGAUAUCGAGGGCGUCAACAAGAAGCAUCGGGUGUACGGCCUGGGUUUGGCUACCAGCAGAUAUGUAGGCCCGAGUAUCAGACCGCAGAGAGGCAGCUCUUCACGGACAUCACAGCAGGCGGAUGAGGAGGUCGAGCGCCGUGUGCAGGCCGGCAUCCAGGAGGGCCUGCGGCAGGUUGAGCAGCGGUUGGCGGCGCA
Molecule: long non-coding RNA, 483 nt
Organism: Mercurialis annua (annual mercury)
Lineage: Eukaryota; Viridiplantae; Streptophyta; Magnoliopsida; Malpighiales; Euphorbiaceae
Exons: 3
Source: RefSeq, a predicted model, not a curated record